UCUUGUUAAAACAAGACAAGAUGCUACCCAAUUAGGCAACCGACUGAGACAACUAAAACAUCUCCAUCUGUCCCAUCAAAAAAAAAAAAAAAAAAUCUCCAUCUGAACUGCCAAUCUCUGUGACAAAAACCUUGUGAUGGAUUUACUCAUUUUAUGCCGACCAAAAAUCCAAAUUUCGUAGAAACUAUGAAAACCCAGUUCCCGUUUGAGUCCUAGAAAUACCAUUUCCUGAGAAAGACUUUUUUUUUUUUUUCUCUUUGAGAGUUCUCCAAUCUCUGCACCUGUACUUCUAAUUCAGAAACACACACAUAGAGAUGGAGGGAGUGAAGCUGGACAUGUGGGGGUACGAGGUUAGGACAUCUUCGGAUUCUUGUAUCUCUGCCAUCAACUCCUACUAUCACCAGGUGCUUAGUUAUGGGAGAGAGCGAUCAGUGAUUCUAGAAGCGCUGGUCCAUGACAAGGACUGUGUGUUGGCCAAUAUUUUGGCUGCUAGUUUCCUAUGCUCCUCUGAUCCUUCACGAGCUCCUUCUCAUAUCCAAGCCGCUAAGUCCCUCCUUGAGCAAGCGACCAAGUACGAGAAAGCUGUUUUUGAUGCUGUUAUUUAUUUGAUAUCUCAAGACAGAGAUGAUGAUGUCGCUGUCGAAUUAUAUUUUAAGCUCUUAAAAGAUUUCCCAAGAGAUCUAGUAUCCCUGAAGAGGGCCCAAGGGCUAUGCUUUUACAUGGCUCGAGCUGAUCUGUCCUUGGAUCUUGUUCAACAGGUUCUACCCAUAAAUCAAGAAGAGAAUUACAUAUAUGGCAUGCUUGCUUUUCCUUUGCUGGAGCUUGGCAAAAUGGCAGAUGCUGAGAAAGCUGCAAAAAAGGGAUUCGAGAUCAACAAGCAAGACUAUUGGGCACAACAUGCUUUGUGCCAUGUUCUACAGUAUGAGUGCCACUUUAAGGAAGCGGUGGAGUUCAUGGAAGGAUGCUCAUCUUCUUGGAGUUCUUGUGGAUCAUUUAUGCUGACACACAAUUGGUGGCAUGUAGCUCUUUGUUACUUGGAAGGUAGUUCUCCAAUUCAGAGAGUCUUAGAAAUAUAUGAUCAUUGUAUUUUGAAGGAGUUGGAAAGAAGUGAUGCUGCAUGUCCAGAGGUGUACUUAAAUGCCGUUGGUUUAUUAUUGCGGUUGUAUGUACGUGGCGAAAUUGAUGCUGCUGAUGACCGACUCAAGAUCUUAGCAGGUUGCCUAACAGAUGAAGUGAAUUGGUACAUAGAGUGGCACUUUGAUUGCUUGAUAUUAUGGGCCUUGGCUAGUACCGGAGAGCUGUCCAAAGCAGAGGAUUUACUAAAGGGAUUGAAAUCCAGAUUUUCUAGGAUGAGCAAGAAGAAGCAACAGAAAAUGCACAGAGGAAUGCUGCUUGCAGAAGCCUUAUAUGAGUAUGGGAGGGGAAAUGACAAAGAAGCAUUGCAAUUGCUUGGUCCAGAUUUUGAUGCCAAUAACUGCAAGGUGAUCGGUGCAUCUGAUGAACAAGUUGAUGUAUUCAAUGAAAUCUGGUACAGUAUGUUGCUUAAUACUGGACAAGCUGUGGAGGCAAUUGAAGUAAUUGAGAAGCAGAUCAAGAAGCGAGAAGGAGUCCCUUUCUUGUGGCGACUUUUGGAAAGAGCUUAUAACCUCGCAGGAAAAAAGGAAGCCGCAAUCAUAGGGGAGAAGGCCAGGGCUUUGGAGACUGCAUAUUUCAAAUAGCCAGUAUGACCACAAGUUACAGCCAGAUAUGUUAUUUUCUCAUCUUUGGUCUCAGCGGUUCAAGAUAUUUGAGUAGCUAAUCACACAAAUACCCUGCAGUAUAUUUCGCACACUAUGUAAGUUGCACUUAAUUGUGCUUCUUCAAACGUGUGCUAAUAAAAAGCUUUGGGUGCACGUGGAUUGGCAUUAAGGAAAAAUGAGAGGAAAGAGAAGAAGGGGAAGUCAAGAACCCUACUAAGUGACAUUGCAUUUUAAUCUGCUUUUGACCUUAAGCCAUUCAAGUUAAAGGGGAAGGUGUAGAAAAUAUUGGCUUGUUGAAAUCAAGAUAUAGGCCACAAUUGAAUAAAGCACUAGUGGAGUGUUUGGAUGGAUGUGAUCAAGUGAUGAUAGCAUGUAGUCAAACGCAGCUUUGGAAAAAGAAGACAAAAAUUAUUGCAUGUUCGAUCUCAGGCGCAAUAGCCUUUUGUUUCGAGGGACUAAGUCUUAUUAAAAGUCAUCUCACUAGCAGGCUAGCAGCAUAUGGGGUGACUUGGGUUGUGCACAUACGAAUCAGUCUUUUUGUUAGAAUUUUCUUCCAAACAAGUCUAGUCACACAAAAAUUCAUAAACAAGUAUAAUGACAACAAAUUUCACA
This is an RNA transcript of Quercus robur (English oak), 2351 nucleotides long. RefSeq lists it as uncharacterized. The transcript has 15 exons. The record is from RefSeq and is a predicted model, not a curated record. NCBI's taxonomy places the organism in Eukaryota, Viridiplantae, Streptophyta, Magnoliopsida, Fagales, Fagaceae.